RNAcentral lists this long non-coding RNA (220 nucleotides) under Elaeis guineensis (African oil palm). Its description in RNAcentral is "long non-coding RNA (EGUI_LNC067249)". Lineage: Eukaryota; Viridiplantae; Streptophyta; Magnoliopsida; Arecales; Arecaceae. The record is from RNAcentral.
UAGCAGUGGUGAUAAUGACGGCAAUGAUAAAGAAGGCAGUGGGUAUAGAUCAUGGAGAAAGAGAAGAGGCAUAAAGAUUAUAGUGAAUUUUUCUUUUUCUAUGAUCGGAUUAAGGAUUCAUCUUUGCAUGAAUCCAAAAUCAUCCAUGCAUAAAUUUCAAAGCACUCCAAACUCCAUUGCUAUGCAGAUUUUAAAGUGAUCCAUGGAUGAUUCGCUAGAG